UCCUAGUCUUAUAUAGUCGCUACAUAUUAGCACUGUUAAACUUCAGGUAUCUGCGUGUAGGUCGUCUCGGUACCUAAAAUUGUCCAGUAUAUUCACCUAUACGAGCGUAUACCCUGAUACUCUACUUCCAUUCGAUUGCCUGAGAGUAUACUUUAUAUAAAGACAAGAGAAAGCUUAAAUACAUGGUAACUAUUUAACUCUUUCCCUGUAGUGUUGUUUUCGAACUAGUUGUACACAUAUACAACCGUUCACCUUACUAACGGAACCGGAAAAGGCAACUUGAUUGUUUCACUAAAACAUGCCGUACGUCAUGGGCUGCUUAAAAAAAUUUCACAGGCUGUUACGUCCAUAAUAAAAAACUGAGCAUUGAACGUCCGUAUGUCAUGGUCUACUUAAAUACAUGACAACUAUUUACCAGUUCAUCUUACUUACUGUUAAUACGGGUCGACAUAACAGUACAUUUAUGUGUGACGUUAACUCAUGAAUGAUUUAACUGGUGAGAGUGACGUCAUUACCAGCAGUUUAAAUAACGUUCUUUCCUUACAUAACAUCGAAACUGUAGACUACCAUUGGAAGUACACAUACUGACAGGCACACAGUGUUUUUAACUUUUCUGAUGUGUACAAUUUGGACAAUCACCGACAAGCCAUGAUCGACAAGUAGGUUGAAAUGGUAGUCACAACAGUCGCAGGUUAUGACCGGAUUAUCAAAAUCUGACCCUGGUCCGGACCCUCGUCUGUGUUCUUAAAGUCUGAAUAUUAUUGGGUCCCAGUCACCGUAAAUUGGGACCCCUGCUGUUUACAAAGUGCCCACCCAAAGCACUACUACCGCUUUAUUUCCAAACCUCUGAACUAAGCCUCGUGGGACUUAUAAGAAACUAACCCGUAAAACUCCCACACGCGACGGACCUAAAAUAGUCUGCUCCUCUAUUUGUGAUAAACCAGUCACCGAGAUACCUAACGUGACGGUUCUAGACCUUGAACGUCUUUUCCUUCACGUAAACAUGCGACCUUCGAUACAGAGGUCAAGCAACAGAGGAACGGGUAGGUCUACUGGAAGGUCAAGAAUAAUGUCCUUGACUUGUACCGUAGUAAGUCCACACCUCGAGGCAACUAAAGUCCGAGUUUUCUUGGUAAUUGAAUCCGCCACCACCUGGACAAUAACCAGAGCGUACAUACUACCCGAGUGUCUCCUAACACUAACCCGUUGUCUUGCGUUACAGAUGGUACCCUUAGUGAUUGCUGUUUCGUAACUCUGGCUUCUCAAAAUACGGGACCCGCGUCGAGGCGGCCUUCUUCGCUGCACACGUGUAGGCACCCGACCGAUCCCGAAUGUUCCUAGGUCAUAGAGAUGUUUGACCUGAUAACUGUUUUUUCUCACUACAGAUGUCAAAACCUCAUGAUGAGACACUUGAACAUACACCCUCCUUCCCGUGUAUAAGCCUGGUAUUGUCGAAUGCCUCUGUAAAAAAACUACGAGUGCUUUUUACUCUUCUACGGCUAACUCGACAAACUGUUCCUUUAACGUCUUGGUCCUCGAAACUUCGAAGAACCAUGGGAACGUUCGCAACGGUACCUUACGGAAUUAGAACUGUAACUACUUUCUGGUCGUUACUGUCUACAUCGUCUCGUGGAAGAGUACAACUUCUCUAGAGCAUUGAUCAAUAUCUAAUAACAUACAAACUACGCUCUGUUAUCCGAAGGAACGUACGAACACACAAAUAAAAACCCCUACAAAAACAACCAAGGGGGUUCGCCAUGGAGACAAUUUAACCGUUAGGGUCGUAAAGAUAGGAAGGAGGGACAAAGGUGAGUUUGGACUAAAUCCCGAAAUAAAACUUCACCCCGAUAACACCGGAAGUAAGAUUUUUAUAAGCGAUGUUAUAUAACUAUAUAAGAGAGGCAAGAAUUUAUAUUCAGAAAAAUCUGUAAAAUUUACCUGUUGUUG
RNAcentral lists this ribosomal RNA (1947 nucleotides) under Triticum aestivum (bread wheat). RNAcentral's name for it is "partial small subunit ribosomal RNA". Lineage: Eukaryota; Viridiplantae; Streptophyta; Magnoliopsida; Poales; Poaceae. The record is from RNAcentral.